GAUGAACGCUGGCGGCGUGCCUAAUACAUGCAAGUCGAGCGGUAAGGUCCCUCCAGGUUGCUUAAACGAAAGUUUGAGGAACGUGGUGGGAUACACGAGCGGCGGACGGCUGAGUAACGCGUAGGAACGUACCCCAAACUGAGGGAUAAGCACCAGAAAUGGUGUCUAAUACCGCAUGUGAUCUCCGGAUUAAAGCUUCGGCGGUUUGGGAACGGCCUGCGUACGAUUAGAUAGUUGGUAGGGUAAUGGCCUACCAAGUCGACGAUCGUUAGCUGGUCUGAGAGGAUGAUCAGCCAGACUGGGACUGAGAACGGCCCAGACUCCUACGGGAGGCAGCAGUAGGGAAUUUUCCACAAUGGGGGCAACCCUGAUGGAGCAACGCCGCGUGCAGGAUGAAUGCCUUCGGGUUGUAAACUGCUUUUAUAUGUGACGAAUAUGACGGUAGCAUAUGAAUAAGGAUCGGCUAACUCCGUG
Molecule: ribosomal RNA, 474 nt
Filed under: uncultured bacterium
Lineage: Bacteria
Description: bacterial SSU rRNA
Rfam family: Bacterial small subunit ribosomal RNA
Source: RNAcentral